Molecule: transfer RNA, 88 nt
Filed under: Oligoflexia bacterium
Lineage: Bacteria; Pseudomonadati; Bdellovibrionota; Oligoflexia
Description: tRNA-Leu
Rfam family: tRNA
About the family: Transfer RNA (tRNA) molecules are approximately 80 nucleotides in length. Their secondary structure includes four short double-helical elements and three loops (D, anti-codon, and T loops). Further hydrogen bonds mediate the characteristic L-shaped molecular structure. tRNAs have two regions of fundamental functional importance: the anti-codon, which is responsible for specific mRNA codon recognition, and the 3' end, to which the tRNAs corresponding amino acid is attached (by aminoacyl-tRNA synthetases). tRNAs cope with the degeneracy of the genetic code in two manners: having more than one tRNA (with a specific anti-codon) for a particular amino acid; and 'wobble' base-pairing, i.e. permitting non-standard base-pairing at the 3rd anti-codon position.
Source: RNAcentral
GCCUUGGUGACGGAAUUGGUAGACGUAGCGGAUUCAAAAUCCGCCGACCGACAAGGUCGUGGGGGUUCAACUCCCCCCUAAGGCACCA